GACGAACGCUGGCGGCGUGCUUAAUACAUGCAAGUCGAACGGACAGGCCAUGAUCUUGCGGGUUGCUCGAUUGGCGAACGCGUGAGUAACACGUGAGUAAACCGCCCCUAUCUUUGUGAUAACUCCAGGAAACUGGGGCUCAUAUCGGAUAGGAGCUCCUGCUGCACGGUGGUGGUAGGAAAGUUUCGGCGGUUGGGGCUGGUCUAGAGGCUUAUCCGCUUGUUGGUGGGGUAGUGGCUUACAAAGGCUUUGACGGGUAGCCGGCCUGAGAGGGUGACCGGCCACAAGAGGACUGAGAGACGGCCCAGUCUCCUACGGGAGGCAGCAGGGGGGAAUAUUGCGCAGUGGGCGGAAGCCUGAGGCAGCAGCGCCGCGUGCGGGAUAACGGGUUUCGGGUUGUGAACCGCUUUCGCAUGUGAUGAAGCGUGAGUGACGGUAAUGGGUCAGAAAGCAACGGCUAACUACGUG
RNAcentral lists this ribosomal RNA (468 nucleotides) under uncultured bacterium. Its description in RNAcentral is "partial 16S ribosomal RNA". It matches the Rfam family "Bacterial small subunit ribosomal RNA", at positions 28 to 507 of the family's 1533-position model. The record is from RNAcentral.